ACCCGCACAAGCGGUGGAUGAUGUGGUUUAAUUCGAUGCAACGCGAAAAACCUUACCCACCUUUGACAUGUACGGAACCCUUUAGAGAUAGAGGGGUGCUCGAAAGAGAGCCGUAACACAGGUGCUGCAUGGCUGUCGUCAGCUCGUGUCGUGAGAUGUUGGGUUAAGUCCCGCAACGAGCGCAACCCUUGUCAUUAGUUGCUACAUUCAGUUGGGCACUCUAAUGAGACUGCCGGUGACAAGCCGGAGGAAGGUGGGGAUGACGUCGAGUCCUCAUGGCCCUUAUAGGUGGGGCUACACACGUCAUACAAUGGCUGGUACAAAGGGUUGCCAACCCGCGAGGGGGAGCCAAUCCCAUAAAGCCAGUCGUAGUCCGGAUCGUAGUCUGCAACUCGACUACGUGAAGUCGGAAUCGCUAGUAAUCGUGGAUCAGAAUGUCACGGUGAAUACGUUCCCGGGUCUU
RNAcentral lists this ribosomal RNA (463 nucleotides) under uncultured Rhodoferax sp. RNAcentral's name for it is "bacterial SSU rRNA". It matches the Rfam family "Bacterial small subunit ribosomal RNA", at positions 919 to 1382 of the family's 1533-position model. Lineage: Bacteria; Pseudomonadati; Pseudomonadota; Betaproteobacteria; Burkholderiales; Comamonadaceae. The record is from RNAcentral.